This 460-nucleotide ribosomal RNA is filed under the name uncultured bacterium. RNAcentral's name for it is "partial 16S ribosomal RNA". It matches the Rfam family "Bacterial small subunit ribosomal RNA", at positions 338 to 795 of the family's 1533-position model. The record is from RNAcentral.
CCUACGGGUGGCAGCAGUGAGGAAUAUUGGUCAAUGGCCGUAAGGCUGAACCAGCCAAGUCGCGUGAAGGAAGAAGGAUCUAUGGUUUGUAAACUUCUUUUAUAGGGGAAUAAAGGUAUCCACGUGUGGAUAUUUUCAUGUACCCUAUGAAUAAGCAUCGGCUAACUCCGUGCCCGCAGCCGCGGUAAUUCGGAGGAUGGGAGCGUUAACCGGAUUUAAUGGGUUUAAAGGGUGCGUAGGGUGUUUUUUAAAUCAGCGGUGAAAGUUUGUGGCUCAACCAUAAAAUUGCCGUUGAAACUGGAGGACUUGAGUGUGUUUGAGGUAGGCGGAAUGCGUGGUGUAGCGGUGAAAUGCAUAGAUAUCACGCAGAACUCCGAUUGCGAAGGCAGCUUACUAAGCCAUAACUGACACUGAAGCACGAAAGCGUGGGGAUCAAACAGGAUUAGAUACCCUGGUAGUC